RNAcentral lists this ribosomal RNA (534 nucleotides) under bacterium. RNAcentral describes it as "bacterial SSU rRNA". It matches the Rfam family "Bacterial small subunit ribosomal RNA", at positions 56 to 572 of the family's 1533-position model. The record is from RNAcentral.
UGCAAGUCGAGCGAACAGAUAAGGAGCUUGCUCCUUUGACGUUAGCGGCGGACGGGUGAGUAACACGUGGAUAACCUACCUAUAAGACUGGGAUAACUUCGGGAAACCGGAGCUAAUACCGGAUAACAUAUUGAACCGCAUGGUUCAAUAGUGAAAGGCGGCUUUGCUGUCACUUAUAGAUGGAUCCGCGCCGUAUUAGCUAGUUGGUAAGGUAACGGCUUACCAAGGCAACGAUACGUAGCCGACCUGAGAGGGUGAUCGGCCACACUGGAACUGAGACACGGUCCAGACUCCUACGGGAGGCAGCAGUAGGGAAUCUUCCGCAAUGGGCGAAAGCCUGACGGAGCAACGCCGCGUGAGUGAUGAAGGUCUUCGGAUCGUAAAACUCUGUUAUCAGGGAAGAACAAAUGUGUAAGUAACUGUGCACAUCUUGACGGUACCUGAUCAGAAAGCCACGGCUAACUACGUGCCAGCAGCCGCGGUAAUACGUAGGUGGCAAGCGUUAUCCGGAAUUAUUGGGCGUAAAGCGCGCGU